CUAAGGAUUUUAACGGAACCUACACAGUCGUUCUUCUUUUGUUCAGUUUUGAGAGGUUAAUACUUUUUUUAUUUAAUCUUCUUUAACGGGGCCUUAGCUCAGCUGGGAGAGCGCCUGCCUUGCACGCAGGAGGUCAGCGGUUCGAUCCCGCUAGGCUCCAUUGCGAUGUUAUUCGCAAUUUUUUGUUCUUUGAAAACUGGAUAUUGUUUAAUUGUAAAAAUUGUAAGAAACCGAGAAACACACCGCGUUUGUAAGAGUUUGACACGGAUUCCCAUCUGUUUAGAUGAGUGAAUUCGCAUUAACACGACCAUAG
This 313-nucleotide transfer RNA is filed under the name Carnobacterium mobile. RNAcentral's name for it is "medium 16S-23S ribosomal RNA intergenic spacer". The stretch from base 88 to 160 matches the Rfam family "tRNA". The record is from RNAcentral. Lineage: Bacteria; Bacillati; Bacillota; Bacilli; Lactobacillales; Carnobacteriaceae.